AACGUAGGACGCAAGCGUUAUCCGGAGUUACUGGGCGUAAAGCGCGGGCAGGCGGUUCUGCCAGUCUGAUGUGAAAUCUCCUCGCUCAACGGGGAGCAGCCAUUGGAAACUACAGAACUGGAGUCUGACAGAGGUAGGCGGAAUUCCGGGUGGAGUGGUGAAAUGCGUAGAGAUCCGGAGGAACACCAGAGGCGAAGGCGGCCUACUGGGUCAGUACUGACGCUGAGACGCGAAAGCCAGGGGAGCGAACGGG
This 253-nucleotide ribosomal RNA is filed under the name uncultured bacterium. RNAcentral describes it as "partial 16S ribosomal RNA". It matches the Rfam family "Bacterial small subunit ribosomal RNA", at positions 524 to 776 of the family's 1533-position model. The record is from RNAcentral.